UAAGACAGAGGGUGCAAGCGUUGUUCGGAAUUACUGGGCGUAAAGGGCGCGUAGGCGGUCCGCUAAGUUCGGUGUGAAAUCCCCUGGCUCAACUGGGGAACUGCGCCGGAAACUGGCAGACUCGAGUACCGGAGAGGAGGGUGGAAUUCCUGGUGUAGCGGUGAAAUGCGUAGAUAUCAGGAGGAACACCGGUGGCGAAGGCGGCCCUCUGGACGAGUACUGACGCUGAGGCGCGAAAGCGUGGGGAUCAAACAGGAUUAGAUACCCUGGUAGUCCACGCUGUAAACGAUGGGAACUAGGUGUGAGAGGUUAGAUCCUCUCGUGCCGCCGCUAACGCAUUAAGUUCCCCGCCUGGGGAUUACGGCCGCAAGGUUA
RNAcentral lists this ribosomal RNA (375 nucleotides) under uncultured bacterium. RNAcentral describes it as "bacterial SSU rRNA". It matches the Rfam family "Bacterial small subunit ribosomal RNA", at positions 521 to 896 of the family's 1533-position model. The record is from RNAcentral.